UUUUCCUACGGGAGGCAGCAGUGAGGAAUAUUGGUCAAUGGCCGAGAGGCUGAACCAGCCAAGUCGCGUGAGGGAAGACGGCCCUACGGGUUGUAAACCUCUUUUGUCGGGGAGCAAAGCGAACCACGUGUGGUUCAUUGAGAGUACCCGAAGAAAAAGCAUCGGCUAACUCCGUGCCAGCAGCCGCGGUAAUACGGAGGAUGCGAGCGUUAUCCGGAUUUAUUGGGUUUAAAGGGUGCGCAGGCGGAAUGUCAAGUCAGCGGUAAAAUUUCGGGGCUCAACCCCGUCGUGCCGUUGAAACUGGC
Molecule: ribosomal RNA, 305 nt
Filed under: uncultured bacterium
Lineage: Bacteria
Description: bacterial SSU rRNA
Rfam family: Bacterial small subunit ribosomal RNA
Source: RNAcentral